GCCAAAAAUCUAGCCCCAAUCUGCCCCCCCGGCCUAAAUACACUUCACCCACUAAUCAAAACAUUUGUUAAAUCUAGUAAAGGCGAUUGAAAAAUUAAUUGGCGCUAUAAAUCUAGUACCGCAAGGGAAAGAUGAAAUAAAAAUGAAAAACCUUCAAGCAUCAAAAAGCAGAGAUUCUAUCUCGUACCUUUUGCAUCAUGGUUUAACUAGUCUAAUCAAGCAAAAAGAUUUAAAGUUUGACUUCCCGAAACUAAGCGAGCUACUUCAAGGCAGCCUAACGGGCGACCCCGUCUCUGUUGCAAAAGAGUGGAAAGACCUUCAAGUAGAAGCGACAAACCUAUCGAGCCUAGUGAUAGCUGGUUACUCAAGAAACGGACUUUAGUCCAACCUAAAGUUAACCCUAUACGACGAAAUUCCUCCCGUAACUUUAGAGCAAUUCAAAUAAGGUACAGCCUAUUUGAAACAGGAUACAACCUCAACUAACGGGUUAUAUGCCUAGUACACCCUGACCAAGUGGGCCUAAGAGCAGCCACCUUUAAAAAUGCGUCGAAGCUUGAUCAUCUUCCCCCCUACGACAAUCCCUAAAUUCUUAUUCAACCCUUUUACAGUAAUGAGUAAUUCUAUAAUACUAUAGAAAUUUUCAUGUUAAAACUAGUAACAAGAAGAUGACCCUUCUCUUGAAUGCAAACAUAAACCAGAAAGGACGCACCACUGGUAAUUAACACCUAUGAGCUGCUAAUAGCAACGUCAUGAAAAACCCCUAUUUAUCAAUAUGUUAACCUAACACAAGGGCAUUAAAAGAAAGAUUAAAAGGAAAAGAAGGAACUCGGCAAACAGCAACCUCGCCUGUUUACCAAAAACAUCGCCUCUCGAAUAAAUAUGAGAGGUCCAGCCUGCCCAGUGACUCUGUUCAACGGCCGCGGUAUCCUAACCGUGCAAAGGUAGCGUAAUCACUUGUUCUUUAAAUGGGGACUAGUAUGAACGGCACCACGAAGGUUACACUGUCUCCUUUUCCCAAUCAGUGAAACUGAUUUCCCCGUGAAGAAGCGGGGAUAAACAUACAAGACGAGAAGACCCUAUGGAGCUUUAAACGAAGCGACAACCGCCUCCCCAUUCAAAUUUCAGAAAACCUAUAUUAAACCAGGCGACAUGGUUGCUAGUUUUAGGUUGGGGUGACCGCGGAGAAUAAAACAACCUCCGUGUUGAAAGGGGCCUCCCCUAAGCAAAAAACCACAACUUUAUGCAUCAAUAAAUUGACAUCAAUUGACCCAAUAUUUUGACCAACGAACCAAGUUACCCUAGGGAUAACAGCGCAAUCCAUUUUGAAAGCCCCUAUCGACAAAUGGGUUUACGACCUCGAUGUUGGAUCAGGGUAUCCCAGUGGCGCAGCAGCUACUAAAGGUUCGUUUGUUCAACGACUAAGACCCUACGU
This 1432-nucleotide ribosomal RNA is filed under the name Fritziana sp. 2 MLL-2018. Its description in RNAcentral is "partial 16S ribosomal RNA". It matches the Rfam family "Bacterial large subunit ribosomal RNA", at positions 267 to 2601 of the family's 2925-position model. The record is from RNAcentral. Lineage: Eukaryota; Metazoa; Chordata; Amphibia; Anura; Hemiphractidae.